Molecule: ribosomal RNA, 608 nt
Filed under: Escherichia coli
Lineage: Bacteria; Pseudomonadati; Pseudomonadota; Gammaproteobacteria; Enterobacterales; Enterobacteriaceae
Description: partial 23S ribosomal RNA
Rfam family: Bacterial large subunit ribosomal RNA
Source: RNAcentral
UAUCAGAAGUGCGAAUGCUGACAUAAGUAACGAUAAAGCGGGUGAAAAGCCCGCUCGCCGGAAGACCAAGGGUUCCUGUCCAACGUUAAUCGGGGCAGGGUGAGUCGACCCCUAAGGCGAGGCCGAAAGGCGUAGUCGAUGGGAAACAGGUUAAUAUUCCUGUACUUGGUGUUACUGCGAAGGGGGGACGGAGAAGGCUAUGUUGGCCGGGCGACGGUUGUCCCGGUUUAAGCGUGUAGGCUGGUUUUCCAGGCAAAUCCGGAAAAUCAAGGCUGAGGCGUGAUGACGAGGCACUACGGUGCUGAAGCAACAAAUGCCCUGCUUCCAGGAAAAGCCUCUAAGCAUCAGGUAACAUCAAAUCGUACCCCAAACCGACACAGGUGGUCAGGUAGAGAAUACCAAGGCGCUUGAGAGAACUCGGGUGAAGGAACUAGGCAAAAUGGUGCCGUAACUUCGGGAGAAGGCACGCUGAUAUGUAGGUGAAGUCCCUCGCGGAUGGAGCUGAAAUCAGUCGAAGAUACCAGCUGGCUGCAACUGUUUAUUAAAAACACAGCACUGUGCAAACACGAAAGUGGACGUAUACGGUGUGACGCCUGCCCGGUGCCGGA